Molecule: transfer RNA, 75 nt
Filed under: Serratia marcescens
Lineage: Bacteria; Pseudomonadati; Pseudomonadota; Gammaproteobacteria; Enterobacterales; Yersiniaceae
Description: tRNA-Ala
Rfam family: tRNA
About the family: Transfer RNA (tRNA) molecules are approximately 80 nucleotides in length. Their secondary structure includes four short double-helical elements and three loops (D, anti-codon, and T loops).
Source: RNAcentral
GGGGCUAUAGCUCAACUGGGAGAGCGCUUGCAUGGCAUGCAAGAGGUCGACGGUUCGAUCCGUCUAGCUCCACCA